Molecule: ribosomal RNA, 253 nt
Filed under: uncultured bacterium
Lineage: Bacteria
Description: partial 16S ribosomal RNA
Rfam family: Bacterial small subunit ribosomal RNA
Source: RNAcentral
UACGGAGGGGGCUAGCGUUGUUCGGAAUUACUGGGCGUAAAGCGUACGUAGGCGGCUUUUUAAGUCAGAGGUGAAAGCCCGGGGCUCAACUCCGGAACUGCCUUUGAAACUGGAAAGCUUGAACAUGGGAGAGGUAAGUGGAAUUCCGAGUGUAGAGGUGAAAUUCGUAGAUAUUAGGAGGAACACCAGUUGCGAAGGCGGCUCUCUGGACUGUAACUGACACUGAGGCACGAAAGCGUGGGGAGCAAACAGG